UACGGAGGGGGCUAGCGUUGUUCGGAAUUACGGGGCGUAAAGCGCACGUAGGCGGCUUUGUAAGUUAGAGGUGAAAGCCCAGGGCUUAACCCUGGAAUUGCCUUUAAGACUGCAUCGCUAGAAUCGUGGAGAGGUGAGUGGAAUUCCGAGUGUAGAGGUGAAAUUCGUAGAUAUUCGGAAGAACACCAGUGGCGAAGGCGACUCACUGGACACGUAUUGACGCUGAGGUGCGAAAGCGUGGGGAGCAAACAGG
RNAcentral lists this ribosomal RNA (253 nucleotides) under uncultured bacterium. RNAcentral's name for it is "partial 16S ribosomal RNA". It matches the Rfam family "Bacterial small subunit ribosomal RNA", at positions 524 to 776 of the family's 1533-position model. The record is from RNAcentral.